Molecule: unclassified non-coding RNA, 314 nt
Filed under: fungal sp.
Lineage: Eukaryota; Fungi
Description: partial internal transcribed spacer region
Rfam family: Eukaryotic small subunit ribosomal RNA (bases 1-46)
Source: RNAcentral
AAGUCGUAACAAGGUUUCCGUAGGUGAACCUGCGGAAGGAUCAUUAUCGUGUUUUCUUCUGGGUCUUCGCAAGAAGAUUUCAGAAACAAACGUAUUCACCCAAUCGUGAACUUGUUCCUUUGAGGCUUAGAUGAGCGAGUCAAAUCUCUCGUCUUUUUCUCAAAUUAAUAUUUUUUUUUACAACUUUAUUCACCACUUGUAUUCAAUGUGCUAAACUAAAAAUCUUGGACGAAAUAACUCUUUCGAGAGUUUCAUUUCUGAAAAGAAAGUACGAAAUUGCUGAACAACUCUUAGCAACGGAUAUCUUGGUUCUC